GACGAACGCUGGCGGCGUGCCUAAUACAUGCAAGUCGAACGCAGUGGGGACGGGUGAGUAACACGUGGGAAACCUCCCAUCAAAGGGGAUAACACUUGGAACAAGGUGCUAAACCGAUAGUGAUGGAUGGACCCGCGGGGCAUUAGCUAGUUGGGGAGGGAACGGCGCACCAAGGCCACGAUGCCUAGCCGACCUGAGAGUGUGAUCGGCCAAACGGGGACUGAGACACGGCCCAGACUCCUACGGGAGGCAGCAGUAGGGAAUCUUCGGCAAUGGACGAAAGUCUGACCGAGCAACGCCGCGUGAGUGAAGAAGGUUUUCGGAUCGUAAAACUCUGUUGUUAGAGAAGCGGUAUCUAACCAGAAAGCCAAGGCUAACUACGUGCCAGCAGCCGCGGUAAUAC
Molecule: ribosomal RNA, 403 nt
Filed under: uncultured bacterium
Lineage: Bacteria
Description: partial 16S ribosomal RNA
Rfam family: Bacterial small subunit ribosomal RNA
Source: RNAcentral